AAAAGAUGCGCAAGGAGAAGCUAAACUCGGAGAUUGAACGUUUGCUGUCUGAGAUGGUCUCGGUUGCAAAUGUUUCCUCUUGUGAUGAAGAGUUUACUACGAUUGAAGUAUACUGCGAUCGAAAGCUGGCUCGUGUGUAGCACGGAAAAAAGUCCUGUUUGCCUAUAGUGUAGUGCUUGAGGACGAAUUAUCGUCAUCUGGCGCUGAAGCAAUCCAAUCACCUACCAAAAAUUUCCGCUUCCAAGAAAUAGCGUCGGAAAGCGUCGUACCUUGAAAGCAAUUGCUAGGAAGCGGUUAAUGGAUCCUUUGAAUUUACCAGAACUUAACCUCGAAAAACAAGAUCAAGUAUAUCUGGAAGUUCGCCGCCACCUGAUCUAUUUCAACAGCUUUGCAUUAAUCCACCCCAAUACAAAAAAUAGAUUUACGUGCUGCUCCCCAAAUGACCCCCUUUCG
Molecule: long non-coding RNA, 453 nt
Organism: Armigeres subalbatus
Lineage: Eukaryota; Metazoa; Arthropoda; Insecta; Diptera; Culicidae
Exons: 3
Source: RefSeq, a predicted model, not a curated record